GUGUCUGUAGCUCAGCAGGAUAGAGCAACGGCCUUCUAAGCCGUUGGCCGGACGUUCGAAUCGUCUCAGACACGCCA
RNAcentral lists this transfer RNA (77 nucleotides) under Clostridiales bacterium. Its description in RNAcentral is "tRNA-Arg". It matches the Rfam family "tRNA". Rfam says of the family: Transfer RNA (tRNA) molecules are approximately 80 nucleotides in length. Their secondary structure includes four short double-helical elements and three loops (D, anti-codon, and T loops). Lineage: Bacteria; Bacillati; Bacillota; Clostridia; Eubacteriales. The record is from RNAcentral.